Molecule: long non-coding RNA, 628 nt
Organism: Gymnodraco acuticeps
Lineage: Eukaryota; Metazoa; Chordata; Actinopteri; Perciformes; Bathydraconidae
Exons: 3
Source: RefSeq, a predicted model, not a curated record
CCGCGAUCGCUAAAAACGCCGCAACGCAGCGCAGACGCUCCUGGUGGGAUUAGGGGUUUAUUUCAGCAUGUUGGAUAACAUCUGAUGGGAAUGCAUCAUCGAGACAUUCUGUGGUUCAAUGACAACCAAGGAAGCUUCACCUGCUGACAAGGCGUUUCAUGAGGUCAAAGGCUGCAUAACAAGCGAACACAUAUGCGUCCUUGUCAUGUGGGCUUUCAGUGACACCAAUAAACUGCAGCCCUCCAGUUCUCCAGUUCAGUUAUGUGGAAUGUCCUGCACACAUCAGCGCUCUGUGGUAAACCAGUCAAGCAGUAAUCUCUGUGAGUGUCAGUGGUUUGGAUUGACUUUUAUCGGAGCUUCGUUUUUUUUGCCAGAUCUCCCUUUUUAUGAAGAGAGAGGGAUGCCACCUGCACACUGACAACACCUUGUAAACUUGGCGGGUAAAGAGGAGGAACAGGAAAACAUAAAGGACCUUUUGUAGCUUGAGUAUGAUGGAAAGUAUAACCUGUUACAUAAAAAUGUAUUGUUGGUUCAUUUAUAAAGUAUGUGUCAGUGAAAUGCAUUCAUCUGGUUUUUGUAUUUGUUACGAGCUUACAUUUUUAUGAAAACAAUUCCUGGUGAACUUCAU